Molecule: non-coding RNA, 107 nt
Organism: Gossypium arboreum
Lineage: Eukaryota; Viridiplantae; Streptophyta; Magnoliopsida; Malvales; Malvaceae
Source: Rfam
AACCCAUGGUGAGCGUACCUUCUCAAUAAAUCCUUGUACCUCUUUCAUGCAUCAUAUAAAGUCUUUAAAUCUAUCUGUACAAAGGAAGAUAUGUCGUUCCUCAACUU